UGCUCCUUGGCUAUCCCAACCCUCUUGAGGCACAGGGAAAUCAAUUCCCCUUUCUGAAAGGCAACAUCUACCAGUAAUUUCUGGGGACUCCAGUAGAAACAUACCGGUCUCCCCAAAGAGAAGAGACUAGAUAAAUACAGCCAAACUAAGACCCGUGGAAAGGUCCCAGCGGAAGAGGGAAUCGUCUCUGUUCGUCCGCCCCCAGGAGGCCAGACUUGGGACCUGUCACUUGGAAAAUUCUCUUGAUCUCCAUUCCCCUUGUGAGGGCGGGCCCACAGAAGGGCAAACCGUCCCGGGACGUGCCCCCUUCCCUCGCCACCUGCCAGGGACAGCUUCGAACGAGGCGGGAGGACAGAUGCCUACUUCAGUGUUGGGAAGGGAAAGGGGAAAAGAAAGAUGCAAGGACCUAAGCCAAGGCGCAAAGUCCCUCAGAUUGCGGCCGCUCCAGAGGAGUCGACCAGCAGCCUGGAGUCGGGGUUGAGGUGGAGAGGAGCAGGGGCCACGGCGUUGCCCGGUGGACGAGAAUAGGAGUGGGUGGCGGCCCGGGGACCUGGGAAAGCCGGGACCUGCGCGAAGGCUCGGCUCUGCGGGGCCCCUGAACUGCACCCGGAAGAUGGCGCGAGUGGCCGAACACCGUGACACACCGCCAGCCCUCAAAACCGUGGCUCUUUUCCUCGGUGAUCUCCAUGCGCAGUCCUCGGGGAACGCGUGGGAGUAGCAGGCCAGGGGUCCACUGGAAAUCCAGAAUCUGAUUUCUGUUUCCGAUUCCCUACGCUCCAGAGAAGGCCUCCUCUGCUGGCCCAGUAUGACCGACACUUCCCGGCUCUGGGAGCGCACCUCCACCUCCCACCCCCCAUGGUACAUACAGGGAAACUGAGGCCUAGAGAAGGACAAAGACACCCACAGACGGCUAGGAGAUAGAGACCAAGCAAACAACACCGCGGGGCUCCGUCCCAGGUUGGGAGCGCUUAGUCUGAUACGGCCAGAAGCCUGGGGCAAGGGGUUCCUACAGGUCUUUCUGGGGCGAGCCUGCCAACUCUCUUGGGUUUCCCCCCGGGCGGCCCCAGAUAAUAAUAGAUCCCAUUUGUUGAUGGCUUUACGGGCAGGAACUCACUGAAUAUCCGCCACAGACCACGGCAGAUAAGACCACUCCGGCGUUUUACAGCUGCCGUGAAGAUGCCAAACCCACCAAGACUGCGCUGCCCCACCUCUCCGAGGCUGUCCUGGGAGUGCGGGUGACCCGCGAGCUCCAGAAUCUUUCCUUAAGGUGGAGCCACAGCGCCACCUCGCGAUCCUCCAGCUUCCCUCCCUCAUGGCCACGGAAGGCUGGCCCUUUCUGGUCCAAGCCCCCAGGGUCCCACACUUACUGGUUUUCCAUGCACUUUCAUUAUUUCCCUUUCUCUCUCUUCAAUGUUCCCUUAUCCUGAGUAUUGAGGUCCCCAAACGCGCCUUUCUACCCCACGUUUGGACAUAGCCGGAAUGUCUACCUCCUUCUCCAUCCGGUGAAGCACUGCUCCCCCUAAAAUCACCAGCUCAAAAGUCACCUCUAUGAAACCUUUUUAGACUUUUCCAACGCAGUCAUUCGUGCCUUUCCCUGGUUUCCCUACUGCUCGCAUCACAUUGGACAGGAAAUGCUAUUUAAACGUUUUUCUCCUCUCCCUAAUCAGGGAGCUCCUCUGAGAGGAGCCAUGGCUGUCCUUGCUUAUUCAACAAUAAAACCUAGUAUAUAUCAAGUGCAUACUAUGGAGCGUUUAAUGCACUGUACUGUGCAAAAACAUAUUGUCUUAUUUCAUUUUCCCAGCAAAAUCAUGAGGAAAGCACGAAUAUUGUUUCCCAUUUUGCAGAUGAAGAAACUGAGGUUAGAGAAAAUAAGUACCCAUCCAAGGUAGCAUUGCAGAGCCUCAUCCAAGUCAGCCUGUCGGAUGCCAGAGCCAACUUUUCUUAACCUCUGACUUGCAGACUUAUUCAGCUGUAUAUCCGUGGGCUUUGUGAUAGGAAAAGACACAGAAUGAGUACUUGUGUGUUUAUGAAUAAAUGUAUCUUUUAAAUUAUUUCUUCUCCUAGAGAGUUGGGUGUGGGAAGGCACUGCAAUUAUCAGAUACUUUGAUUGAAAUGUCACCACAAUUAUUUAUCUCUAAAGAGUAUUCCUCUGCUAAGUAGCUAGGAGACCUUGGUCAAGUCACUUCAUCCUCAGUUUCCUAAGUUCUAAAAGUAGGUUUUCUGUGGAGGAUUAAAUGAGAAAAAAAAAUGUGAAUUACAUGAUAUAUAGCAUUCUAGUCAUUGCUCAGUAAUUAUAAUAACUCGAAACUACUGAAACACACACAAAAAAAACAAAACACAAAAUUGACUUACCCUAGUCACACAGAAUUCCCUGUACCUCUGUAUGAAAUCAUCUUACUGUUAUAUCUUCAUUUUCAUCUUAGACAUGAAUUAUAUAAUAAAUAUUUUUAGUUUAUGGUGGUUAGGGUGUUAAUGUUAACCCUGCUCUGUUACAAAUAUUUAAGGGGUAGUGGGAGAGAUAUAAUCAAACAGUAAACCAGCAAACUUUGCCUCUUGUAAUUUCCUCCUGCUUUGUAGAUCUUUACCAAGAAAGAUUUAAAGAAAGGCUAUAAAAGUACUUAUUGGCCAGGCACGGUGUCUCACUCCUGUAAUCCCAGCACUUUGGGAGUCCGAGGCAGGUGGAUAACCUGAGGUCAGGAGUUCGAGACCAGCCUGGCCAAUAUGGUGAAACCCUGUCUCUACUAAAAAUACAAAAAAUUAGCCGGGCUUGGUGACGGGUGCCUGCAAUCCUAGCUACUUGGGAGGCUGAGGCAGGAGAAUCGCUUGAACCCAGGAGGCAGAGGUUGCAGUGAGCCAAGAUCGCACCAUUGCACUCCACCUGGGCAACAAGAACAAAACUCUGCCUCAAAAAAAAAGAAAAAAGAAAAAGAAAAAGAUGCUUAUUAUUCUGGAAAGUACAAAACUCUAUUUUUUAAUUUAGGGGAGAUUCUGAGCUAGUUUAAGUGUUUCCCUACUUGAAAACAUCAUUGCUACCAAUACAUUAAAAGUUUAAAAAUAUGUGUCUAAGCAAAUGAUUGUAUCCAAAUAAAAGAAAACUCAAAUAAAAUAAUGUAUUACUACUAAUAUAUUAAAAGUUUAAAAAUACAUGUCUAAGCA
Molecule: long non-coding RNA, 3156 nt
Filed under: Homo sapiens (human)
Lineage: Eukaryota; Metazoa; Chordata; Mammalia; Primates; Hominidae
Description: PREDICTED lncRNA (TCONS_00215284)
Source: RNAcentral